UGUUGAGCGACUGACCAGUUGAGAGCGUCAACUGAUGCUCGCAGUUUGAUUAUUCAUGUUUCAAACAGAUUGCAGCGGCUUUGCAUAAGAAGAGCUAACGGGCACCUGAUCCAAAACUUCAGGGUUAAACCACCAUUCAUUAACGGUUUAAACCAUUCCGGUAAGAAGGCGUCUAACGACCUCAUCGCACCAUAACUUCAUUCCAGAGUGUUCCUUUAACCUUAUCAGCUAGUCCCCUAUUCCAUAUACCAACAUAUUACUUUUGAUAUUGUUUUGAAUAAAUGUAAUUAAACAAGAUUUCUAGGGAGGUUCUCUCUUUUUCCAUUGUUGAUCACAUAGUUACAAAGCUGAAAAGAGAAUUGUGUCCAUCAAUUUCAGCCUUCCUCACAUAAUCUUCUAUUCAUAUUAUAGUUUACUCCAUUGAAUAGCUCUUUUUCGAAGCUCCAUUGGCAUCUAUA
Pelobates cultripes (western spadefoot toad) is the source of this 458-nucleotide non-coding RNA. The record is from the annotation of a GenBank genome assembly. Lineage: Eukaryota; Metazoa; Chordata; Amphibia; Anura; Pelobatidae.